AGUGAACGCUGGCGGCAGGCCUAAUACAUGCAAGUCGAACGGCAGCACAGCAGAGCUUGCUCUGUGGGUGGCGAGUGGCGGACGGGUGAGGAAUACGUGGGAAUCUGCCCAGUCGUGGGGGAUAACGUAGGGAAACUUACGCUAAUACCGCAUGCGCCCUUCGGGGAAGCGGGACCUUCGGCCUGGCGCGAUUGGAUGAGCCCACGUCGGAUUAGCUAGUUGGCGGGGUAAAGGCCCACCAAGGCGACGAUCCGUAGCUGGUCUGAGAGGAUGAUCAGCCACACUGGAACUGAGACACGGUCCAGACUCCUACGGGAGGCAGCAGUAGGGAAUAUUGGACAAUGGGCGCAAGCCUGAUCCAGCCAUGCCGCGUGAGUGAAGAAGGCCCUCGGGUUGUAAAGCUCUUUUGUCCGGAAAGAAAAGCGCCGGGUUAAUACCCUGGUGUCCUGACGGUACCGGAAGAAUAAGCACCGGCUAACUUCGUGCCAGCAGCCG
RNAcentral lists this ribosomal RNA (495 nucleotides) under uncultured bacterium. RNAcentral's name for it is "bacterial SSU rRNA". It matches the Rfam family "Bacterial small subunit ribosomal RNA", at positions 29 to 517 of the family's 1533-position model. The record is from RNAcentral.